RNA transcript from Oncorhynchus gorbuscha (pink salmon), 6630 nucleotides. It is a transcript of the gene named serine/threonine-protein kinase ULK1-like, with no coding region annotated. The record is from RefSeq and is a predicted model, not a curated record. The transcript is spliced from 27 exons. Lineage: Eukaryota; Metazoa; Chordata; Actinopteri; Salmoniformes; Salmonidae.
GAGGUGGUAUAGUAUUUACGUGGUUACAUGCAGUAGAGUAGGCAACAACAGAACACCGAUGUGACACCUCUCUUUAAAAUAAAGCUUUAAGUUCGUGCGCCUGCGCAACAUUUCGGGGUUUGGAGAGUAUGUGAAGGCUUUUUGGAGACCACCAUUGAUACGAGGAUUGCUCUGCAAAGAAAAAAUAACUAUUACUCAUGCCCAUUGAAAUGAUUACGAGAUGCCGCUUGCCUAAUUAUCGUGAACUUGCGUUGGAACAAAUUACAACACAUUAUUGAACGGGUUGCAGUGGAGCCAACGAUUUCCUCCGUAUACAAACAAAACCGAGGCUUCUGUUUUUAAGGUGGAUAUUUAAGCUAGCAGCUACCUAGCCAGUCUACAAUGGAGUUAGUCUCUUUGUAAACACUGCGUCAGUUGUGCUAGCUAGCUAACUACCAUAACAAAGAAACAUGGGACUCGUAUAUUGUUGAAAGGGGGCAGACUCCUUUCCAUACGUUAGCUAAACAUGCAAGAAGAAAAUCGUUCUUUCUCAGGAAGGCAGCCAAUGGCAAUCGAAAGACGAGGUGAACUUUCCAGCUGUGCCGACUUCACGGAGGAGGAAGGGACAUCCGAGAGAGAUCUGCAACCCUGCAACGCUUUUCAUUUUACCUCAAAAUAAAACCCUGAGGUUCUGGAGCGAUGGAAACCGUGGGGAAAUUCGAGUUUAGCAGGAAGGAUUUGAUAGGACACGGUGCAUUUGCGGUGGUGUUCAAAGGCAGGAAUAGAGAGAAACACGACUGGGAGGUGGCCGUGAAAUGCAUAAACAAGAAGAACUUGGCAAAGUCUCAGACCCUUUUGGGGAAAGAGAUCAAAAUUCUCAAGGAACUAAAACAUGAAAACAUUGUUGCAUUACAUGACUUUCAGGAAACGGCCAGUUCUGUGUACCUGGUCAUGGAGUACUGCAAUGGUGGGGACCUGGCGGAUUAUCUACACUCCAAGGGCACCCUGAGUGAGGACACUAUCCGAGUGUUCCUGCAGCAGAUAGCCGGGGCCAUGAGGGUGCUGCAGGCCAAGGGGAUCAUUCACAGAGACCUCAAACCACAGAACAUUCUGCUCUCCUACCCCGCAGGACGCAAGUCCCACUCUACCAACACCUGCAUCAAGAUAGCUGACUUUGGGUUUGCACGGUACCUUCAGAACAACAUGAUGGCUGCUACUCUGUGUGGGUCCCCUAUGUACAUGGCACCUGAAGUCAUCAUGUCUCAGAACUAUGAUGCCAAGGCUGACCUGUGGAGCAUAGGAACCAUUUUGUUCCAGUGUCUGACAGGGAAAGCCCCGUUUCAGGCUAGCAGUCCCCAGGACCUCCGGCUAUUUUAUGAGAAAAACAAGAACCUCAGCCCCAAUAUCCCCAGAGAGACCUCCUGUCCCCUGAGGCUUCUGCUGCUGGGUCUUCUGCAGCGAAACCACACGGACCGCAUGGACUUUGAGGAGUUCUUCCGUCACCCCUUCCUGGAGGCAAGCUCGUCCAUGAAGAAAACAACUGUGACCAUGACGUGCUUUCCCAGCUCCGCUUCAGCCAGCUCCUGUAGCAGCUCUUCCACCUCACACCUGGCCUCCCCACCGCAGUCCCUGGCUGAGGUCCAGCAGGUCCGUACUAAGACACUCGCUUCUCCUACCCAGGAUUCCCCUGGCUUCCUCAAGGACUCGUCUGGAGGGGGCUGCAGCAGUAAGAACUCCUCCUGUGACACAGACGACUUUGUCAUGGUGCCCGCCCACUUUCCCACAGGUGAGCUCACCUGUGAGGGGCCUACUGGAAAGGUGUUCCACGACAGUCUGAUGAACAGCGGCUCUCUGCUAGCCUUUGGUGGCCUGGGCAGUCAGGGCAAGACCCCACCCCACUCCCCCUCCUACAGUGGCUCCCCCAAUCCUAUCAGUCGGCCUAACGAGUUCUCUGGCAGUAACUGUGGUAACUAUGGUCAGUCGGUGCCCAUUCCGGUUCCCACUCAGGUCCAAAACUACCAGCGUAUGGAGCAGAAGCUCCAUUCCCCCAGCCAGGACGGCUCCCCACGGCUGUCCACCCCAGUGCGUCGCUGUAGCAGCAAUAGUUCACUGGGAUUUGGAAGAACUGGCCCAUCUCUGCCUUACCCAGGAGGCCACGGGGCCUUGGCUGGCCUCCGCAGGCUGUCUGUAGGAGGGGCCAGACCCUUCCAGCUUUCACCUCAAGUGGGUACCAUCCCUGAGCUGCCAGGGCAGGUGCGCCCGCUGGGCACAGACACCGGUAGUGGGGGGUUGCGGGACGGAGCUCUCCAGUUCCUCGACAUGCGGCCUCCCGCUCAGCAGCAAGGCCUGGUCACCCGGCUUCACAGCGCCCCAUGUCUCCUCGAGGCUGCUAGCAGGGGCGGCAGGCAAAAUAUCAGGAAGCAGCACUCUGACCCAGUGGUGGCCAACCACCGGGCAGGCAUGGUGACUAUGCGGCCCCUGCACUCCUCCCCCAGGCUGAGUGAACUCAUGCAGCGCAGCCCCCUCCCCACCAUUCUAGGAUCUCCCUCGAGAGCCAUCCCACCCUUUGAGUUUCCAAAACCUCCCAGCACCCCCAACCUGGUGACCUUCCUGGCCCAGCAGGGCCUGGUUCUGGCCCCACCUGGCAGCAGGACUGCCUCAGACCACAGGGACCCAGGACAGCCGCCCACUGGGCAGCUUGGUCAAUACAGCCACAGGACCGCAGAGGACAACAAGAGCUUUGGCAGGUCUCAGAGUGCAAGUCGUCUGUCUGACAUGUUGCUGAUGGCUGCAUUUGGAGAGCCGCUGGGGGAGCGGGGGAGCAGUGAGAACCUCUGCUCUAACAGAGGAGCCAUAGACAUCACAGCACCCUCUGGUGAUGGUGCCAUGGCUGCAGGCUCAGCCAGCCCAGCCCAGGUGGUGUUCACUGUGGGCUCCCCGCCCAACAGCAGCACCCUACCACACACCUCCAGGACCAGGCAGUACUCAGCAGGCUCCUCCAGCUCUAUCAGCCCAGUGGGGUCCUUUACCAGCCGAUAUCAGACAGGCACCUAUCUGGAAGGCUUCGAGGAUCCCUCCAGUCCACGCUACAGCUUCACGGACCCCAUCACGGCCAACAUGGGGGGACCGGUCACCUUCCUGGCCCCUGAGCUGCCAGAGGAGACACUGAUGGCGCAGGAGCACACAGAGACCCUGAGGAGCCUUCACUUCACCCUGGACUUUGCCUGCUGUCUGAUGGAGGUGGCAGGAGUCAGGGGGACCGGGGCUGGGGCUGUGGCGGAGCAAGGGGACACCUCCCCACCCUCCCUCCUGCAGCAGCAGAGCCUGGUGGCAGACCAGAUCAGCUCCCUCAGCCGGGAGUGGAGCUAUGCAGAGCAGCUGGUGUUGUACAUGAAGACUGCAGAGCUCCUGUCGUCUGCCUUACACACAGCCAUGGGGUGCAUCAAACAGGGCAAACUGUACCCCUCUGCUACUGUCAAACAAGUGGUGAAGAGACUGAACAAGCUUUUCAAGUCCAGCGUGUCGUCCUGCUUCUCCCUCAACGCCCGUCUAGAGCGCUUCUUUUCUAGGAAGCACCGUCUCAUGGACCACAUUAACACUAUCACCGCCGAGAGGCUGCUGUUCAGCCACACCGUUCAGAUGGUGAGGAAGAUACUGUGUUCAGCUCAACACCGUUCAGAUGGUGAGGGAGACACUGUGUUCAGCUCAACACCGUUCAGAUGGUGCAGGCUGCUGCUCUGGAUGAGAUGUUCCACCAGGGAGAGGCGUCGGUGCAGCGCUACCACAAGGCCCUGCUGCUGAUGGAGGGCCUGUCCCUGCUCCUCACCGAGCACGAAGACAUCCUCAUCGUUACCAAAUGUAAGGAGUACAUCGAGCGUCGCCUCACAGCACUACAGUCAGGGCUCUGCAUCUGAGGACUCUGCUCAGCACCUGUGGAUGCUGCUAAACUAUGAUGUCAUUCAUUCUGGACAGAUACCACCAUGACCAUUCAAUCUGACCCCAUUCCCUACCAACUCAGUAUCCUCCCUCCUCCCUCUAGUUUCCAUGGAGAUACCAGCCAGUGGGGGGGUGGGGGGGGGGGUGUUAUGAAGGGCCUGGACUGGGUAUGCUUGGGACUGGUGACGCUGGUCUCUCAUACUCACAGUGGAGCCUGUGACUGCCUGGUUGAUGUUGGAGAUGAAGGGCUUGUGAGAAGGCCACUACUCACUCCUCCGUGUGUCAGACAGGACCCCACUACACGGACUGAGUGUGUUAGCUAUUCAUUUCUGUGCAGUGUCCCAUACACACAGCCUCUUACAGUCAGUAACGCUGCCCUGAGCAAUCGCAGCCAAGCGGUCUGCCGGAGGAUUCUAUUGCAGUCACAGACACGCUCCAUUUGAUUCUGUCAAUAAUUCAGCGCUAAGCAAUCACAAAUAGACCCUCACUCCUCUUAAGACAUGAGGUAUCACUCUAUAAGAAGCCACUCUGUGUAACAAAUAUGAAUCUCAACCCCUACGCGGGGCAUUGUGCUAUUUUUAGUUUGGCUUGUAAUGGUGAUUUGUGGACAAUAGUAUAGCGUGAUAUUACAGCGAGUGGGCUUAACUUGUCUGUUUGCCUCUUUUUGGUUUCUUUGAUGGUUUACAUUGAUUUAUAUUUUAUUUGUCGUUUUCAAGGAAACCAGAAGAGUUUAAGAGCGUUAAACACAAUUGUAUGGCCUGUCACAGCCCACAGGCCUGUGUGUGGAGAAAAAAAUGUGUGUUGUUAUUGACCCAGCUUAAUGUACAUUCCUGUGAUAGAACCAUAUAAAGGGGCUGUUACAGAAGUAUUGUACUUUAUUCAUCCCUGUCUGUGACGAUUUGUCGAUGCUAAGUUUGCCGUAUUAACAAUGACAAUGUUGCCCUUUUGGACCCAGCAGAUAGAUUUUUUUUUUACCAUAAACAGGAGAAUGUAGAGAGGAUUGCUGUAUGUGCCACUUCUGGGCCUUGACAGGAAAUGGACCUCACUGCGCAUUUCCUUUUGACCAAAGUGUUUGAUAUGGCUGCCAUGGUGGAAGAACAGCUGGAACUGCAUAAACCCCAUUGAGCUUUUUAGUCUGAGUGCUUGAGAUGGAUCAUCUUAUUAAUAUUUCCUGAAGUUUGUAACAAAUAUUGUUAUUUUAUCCAGUAUAGGCCAGGAAUAGCACUUUGUAGACCAAUCAGACAAAUGAAUAUUGCCCGAAUUGAAAAAUAAACCAAUUUGCACUGAUCUCUGACCAGACACGUGAGAUUUAGUUGAGCUUUAUUUAUUGCAUAUUUUCCCAUUCAAACUUCUUAUCGGAGUACAGCAAUCACAAUCAGUUUGUAAGACAUGUUGGCAGUAGAGUAGCAGCCCCUGUGACUGGACUACACCAGUGAUGGAUUACUGGUGUUAUAGCACUGUGUUGAGGUUUAUCAGUACUGUACAGAAAGAAUAGGGAAGGUGACUUAUAAGAUGUACAUGAAACAUUAUAUGUUCAGUUUUUCAUGUACAUAUUAGGAGAGAUUUCAGUUUAUAUAGGAUCAUUUCUAUGGGUUUUAUUGUAGUUUUAGGCGGUUUUGUUUUAGGUUUAUUCAUAGUCAGAUGUAUGAUGGGUGUCUGAAUCUUGACAGGGAAGUGUCAUAAGCUAUUAAAUUUUGAAAGGUGCCUUUGAGAAGAAGACCCCCCCCCCCCUACAAAAAAACUCUACAUUUGUACACUGAAAAAUUAUUUGUUGUAUUGAGUGUGUUUGUUUCCUUUCACAGUAGCCAAAAUGAGGACUGAUACUUGGAGUUUAUCGAAUUGUAGUGUAUCGGUUGUUAAAUGGAUAUUUGCUGGAAAGAGUUUUGUUUGAGGUGGGUGGCUGUUUCCCCAACCACAGCUCUAGGACCACAUCAUUGUAACCCCAGCAAUAACAAUUUAUUUUUAGAUAAAACAUCUGACAAUAUCUCUGACGGUGCAAUGGACCAGUGGUUAGAAGCGACUUCUUCUACCCACUCCAAGAGGCUUGCGUGUUCCGUGUAUGCAUUUGUGUGAAACCGUGUUUGUGAAAGAGUGAAGAGCUUUUAUAUUUCCUCACUACAGGGAACUAACAGAAACGAGAGCAGUCCUGCAGCUCUGUUGCAUAUCGAGCUAUGGAUCCUACCUGACUGCCUUGUUCGUCAUGGUUAGAGCAGUAUGAGGAAGGCAGCAUUUCCCCUGUGAAGAUUGAAUAUUUUGGUUUCCCCAUAGAUGUUUCUGGCCUUUUCCUUUCACCAGUCAGUAAAAAGUCUAUUUUUUUUCUUACUCUGAAAUGUUUCAUUUGCAUACAGCGUAUGACAAUGCAUUAAUUUCUAGUUUUAUAUGAUACACAUUCCAGAUUAUUAUGUCAUGUCUAGUGACCCAUAUGCUUCUUGUCACCCAGUGUGAUUCCUACAGAUCAGCUAGUGUAAAGUGGGAAAUGUUCAACGAGUGGCUGGUAGCAAGGCAAUGGUAGACCUUUAAGCUUUUUAUGCAUCUGUCACUUUUUUGUUUUGUUUCUUACAAUUAGUAGCCUAAAGCCACAUAAAUGUCAAAUAAAUCACUCUGUAGAAGAAUUACAACUUAGAAGGUGGUUAAUUGAAAAGCCCAUGACGUAAAAGCUUGAUCUGCACGCCAAUGCUUAGGUGAUGAUGAAUAAACAAUACAUGCCCACUUCCA